UACGGAGGAUGCAAGCGUUAUCCGGAUUUAUUGGGUUUAAAGGGUGCGUAGGCGGGUUAUCAAGUCAGCGGUGAAAUUUUUCGGCUUAACCGUAAAAUUGCCGUUGAAACUGGUGAUCUUGAGUGCGAGCGAGGUAGGCGGAAUGUGCCGUGUAGCGGUGAAAUGCAUAGAUAUGGCACAGAACUCCGAUUGCGAAGGCAGCUUACUAGUACGCUACUGACGCUGAUGCACGAAGGCGUGGGGAUCAAACAGGAUUAGAUACCCUGGUAGUCCACGCAGUAAACGAUGAUUACUAGCUGUUUGCGAUAUACCGUAAGCGGCCGAGCGAAAGCAUUAAGUAAUCCACCUGGGGAGUACGUUCGCAAGAAUGAA
This 372-nucleotide ribosomal RNA is filed under the name uncultured bacterium. RNAcentral describes it as "bacterial SSU rRNA". It matches the Rfam family "Bacterial small subunit ribosomal RNA", at positions 524 to 898 of the family's 1533-position model. The record is from RNAcentral.